AACUUUCGAAAAUGGAUCUCUUGGUUCUGGCAUCGAUGAAGAACGCAGCGAAAUGCGAUAAGUAAUGCGAAUUGCAGAAUUCAGUGAGUCAUCGAAUCUUUGAACGCAUAUUGCGCCCUUUGGUAUUCCGAAGGGCAUGCCUGUUCGAGCGUCAUUAUCAACCAUCAAGCCUGGCUUGUCGUUGGACCCAUUUGCAGCUGAAAUAUGCGGCAGGUCCGAAAGAUAAUGACGGCGUCGUGUUUGACCCUAGAUGCAACGAGCUUUUUAUAGCACGCAUUGAAGUGGUUGACCGACCCGGUCUUUAACCAUCAUUUUUCUAAGGUUGACCUCGGAUCAGGUAGGAAUACCCGCUGAACUUAAGCAUAUCAAUAAGCGGAGGCU
RNAcentral lists this unclassified non-coding RNA (381 nucleotides) under uncultured Verrucariales. Its description in RNAcentral is "sequence contains ITS2". The stretch from base 1 to 154 matches the Rfam family "5.8S ribosomal RNA". The record is from RNAcentral. Lineage: Eukaryota; Fungi; Ascomycota; Eurotiomycetes; Verrucariales.